UCCGUAGGUGAACCUGCGGAAGGAUCAUUAACCUUUCAAAUCAGGGUGCGGCGCGGCCCCCGAGGAGCGGAAACAAUCCUUGGGAGGUAUGCGGGGGCUUCGAGCCCCCCAUUUACGCACGCACGACUGCCAUCCUUACUUUACGAGCACCUUCUGUUCUCCCUCGGCGGGGCAACCUGCCGUUGGAACCGAAUAAACUCUUUUUGCAUCUAGCAUUACCUGUUCCGAAACAAACAAUCGUUACAACUUUCAACAAUGGAUCUCUUGGCUCUGGCAUCGAUGAAGAACGCAGCGAAAUGCGAUAAGUAGUGUGAAUUGCAGAAUUCAGUGAAUCAUCGAAUCUUUGAACGCACAUUGCGCCCCUCGGUAUUCCGUGGGGCAUGCCUGUUCGAGCGUCAUCUACACCCUCAAGCUCUGCUUGGUGUUGGGCGUCUGUCCCGCCUCCGCGCGUGGACUCGCCCCAAAUUCAUUGGCAGCGGUCCUUGCCUCCUCUCGCGCAGCACAUUGCGCUUCUCGAGGGGCUACGGCUCGCGUCCAACAAGCACAUUUACCGUCUUUGACCUCGGAUCAGGUAGGGAUACCCGCUGAACUUAAGCAUAUCAAUAAGCGGAGGA
The sequence is a ribosomal RNA, 614 nucleotides long. The stretch from base 245 to 398 matches the Rfam family "5.8S ribosomal RNA".